Molecule: ribosomal RNA, 175 nt
Filed under: uncultured soil bacterium
Lineage: Bacteria
Description: partial 16S ribosomal RNA
Rfam family: Bacterial small subunit ribosomal RNA
Source: RNAcentral
AGAUUGAACGCUGGCGGCAUGCCUAACACAUGCAAGUCGAACGGGAGUAGCAAUACUCUAGUGGCGGACGGGUGAGGAAUACGUAGGAAUUUGCCCUUAAGUGGGGGAUAACCCGGGGAAACCCGGAUUAAUACCGCAUGACCUCGAAAGAGCAAAGUGGGGGAUCGCAAGACCC